RNAcentral lists this unclassified non-coding RNA (229 nucleotides) under Glomeraceae sp. RNAcentral's name for it is "partial contains 5.8S ribosomal RNA and internal transcribed spacer 2". The stretch from base 1 to 71 matches the Rfam family "5.8S ribosomal RNA", at positions 84 to 154 of the family's 154-position model. Lineage: Eukaryota; Fungi; Glomeromycota; Glomeromycetes; Glomerales; Glomeraceae. The record is from RNAcentral.
GUGAAUCAUCGAAUCUUUGAACGCAAAUUGCACUCUCUGGUAUUCCGGAGAGUAUGCCUGUUUGAGGGUCAGUUUAAAUAAAAAUCGGUGUGGUUGCUGCCUUUCGUGGUGAUGCACCGGAUGUGGGUCGUCUUGCCUUCGGUUAAGGGAUUUAAAAUUUUGCAAGAUUUUUUCGAACGUAGUUAAAUGAUUUUACGUACGUUUGCGAUAUCGAAUAUCUCGUGUGGUU